Molecule: ribosomal RNA, 447 nt
Filed under: uncultured bacterium
Lineage: Bacteria
Description: bacterial SSU rRNA
Rfam family: Bacterial small subunit ribosomal RNA
Source: RNAcentral
UGGGGAAUAUUGGACAAUGGGCGCAAGCCUGAUCCAGCCAUGCCGCGUGAGUGAAGAAGGCCUUAGGGUUGUAAAACUCUUUCGCCGGGGAAGAUAAUGACGGUACCCGGAGAAGAAGCUCCGGCUAACUUCGUGCCAGCAGCCGCGGUAAUACGAAGGGAGCUAGCGUUGUUCGGAAUUACUGGGCGUAAAGCGCACGUAGGCGGACUUGUCAGUCAGGGGUGAAAUCCCAAGGCUCAACCUUGGAACUGCCUCCGAUACAGCAAGCCUAGAGAUCGGGAGAGGUGAGUGGAAUUCCUAGUGUAGAGGUGAAAUUCGUAGAUAUUAGGAAGAACACCAGUGGCGAAGGCGGCUCACUGGCCCGAUACUGACGCUGAGGUGCGAAAGCGUGGGGAGCAAACAGGAUUAGAUACCCGAGUAGUCCCUGAGCGGGCUGGCAAGGCGCAU